RNAcentral lists this small RNA (74 nucleotides) under Burkholderiales bacterium. RNAcentral describes it as "sX9 sRNA". It matches the Rfam family "Xanthomonas sRNA sX9". RNAcentral also lists the same sequence under 1 other name. The record is from RNAcentral. Lineage: Bacteria; Pseudomonadati; Pseudomonadota; Betaproteobacteria; Burkholderiales.
ACGUACCGAAGUACGUUCCGGUUGCUGUGCUCCGUCCGCCUCGCCUGAGACCCGCUCGCGACGCUUUUUCAGCC